UGAUCAAGCUACAAAGAGCGCAUCAUGGAUGCCUUGGUGCCAAUAGGCGAUGAAGGACGUGGUAAGCUGCGAUAAGUCACGGAGAGCGGCAAACACGCUUUGACCCGUGAAUGUCCGAAUGGGGUAACCUGAGCGGGGUAACACCUGCUCGAGUUCGUGUGAAUCCAUAGCACGAACAUCGCGACACCCGGUGAAGUGAAACAUCUCAGUAACCGGAGGAAAAGAAAUCGAAAGAGAUUCCGUCAGUAGUGGCGAGCGAAAGCGGAACAGGCUAAACCCAGCACUUUCAGUUGAUUCGAAAACUUCUUGUGAAUUCACGAGCGACAGAAACGCUCGAACGAACGCGAGACAGCGGAGUCGAUUGAAAGUGCUGGGGGUUGUAGGAGCCCGACGUGGUAGUGCAAAGGUUAGGUGAAGCUUCUGGAAAGCUGCGCCAUAGAGGGUGAAAGGCCCGUAACCGAAAACCCGAGCACGCCUAGGGAUUUCCUGAGUAAUACGAUGCACGUGAAACUUCGUAUGAAUCUGCGCCGACCACGGCGUAAGCCUAAAUACUCAUUGGCGACCGAUAGUGAACAAGUACCGCGAGGGAAAGGUGAAAAGAACCGCUGCGAGCGGAGUGAAAUAGUACCUGAAAUGAUGUGCUUACAAGGUGUCAAAGCCCAGC
Molecule: ribosomal RNA, 664 nt
Filed under: Verrucomicrobiota bacterium
Lineage: Bacteria; Pseudomonadati; Verrucomicrobiota
Description: bacterial LSU rRNA
Rfam family: Bacterial large subunit ribosomal RNA
Source: RNAcentral